GAAGGUGGCCUGUGAGGGUUGCUGGAGGUAUCAGAAGUGCGAAUGCUGACAUAAGUAACGAUAAAGCGGGUGAAAAGCCCGCUCGCCGGAAGACCAAGGGUUCCUGUCCAACGUUAAUCGGGGCAGGGUGAGUCGACCCCUAAGGCGAGGCCGAAAGGCGUAGUCGAUGGGAAACGGGUUAAUAUUCCCGUACUUGGUGUUACUGCGAAGGGGGGACGGAGAAGGCUAUGUUGGCCGGGCGACGGUUGUCCCGGUUUAAGCGUGUAGGUGUGUGUUCCAGGUAAAUCCGGUUCACUUUAACACUGAGGCGUGACGACGAGGCACUACGGUGCUGAAGCAACAAAUGCCCUGCUUCCAGGAAAAGCCUCUAAGCAUCAGGUAACAUCAAAUCGUACCCCAAACCGACACAGGUGGUCAGGUAGAGAAUACCAAGGCGCUUGAGAGAACUCGGGUGAAGGAACUAGGCAAAAUGGUGCCGUAACUUCGGGAGAAGGCACGCUGACACGUAGGUGAAGUGAUUUACUCAUGGAGCUGAAGUCAGUCGAAGAUACCAGCUGGCUGCAACUGUUUAUUAAAAACACAGCACUGUGCAAACACGAAAGUGGACGUAUACGGUGUGACGCCUGCCCGGUGCCGGAAGGUUAAUUGAUGGGGUCAGCGCAAGCGAAGCUCCUGAUCGAAGCCCCGGUAAACGGCGGCCGUAACUAUAACGGUCCUAAGGUAGCGAAAUUCCUUGUCGGGUAAGUUCCGACCUGCACGAAUGGCGUAAUGAUGGCCAGGCUGUCUCCACCCGAGACUCAGUGAAAUUGAACUCGCUGUGAAGAUGCAGUGUACCCGCGGCAAGACGGAAAGACCCCGUGAACCUUUACUAUAGCUUGACACUGAACAUUGAGCCUUGAUGUGUAGGAUAGGUGGGAGGCUUUGAAGUGUGGACGCCAGUCUGCAUGGAGCCGACCUUGAAAUACCACCCUUUAAUGUUUGAUGUUCUAACGUGGACCCGUAAUCCGGGUUGCGGACAGUGUCUGGUGGGUAGUUUGACUGGGGCGGUCUCCUCCUAAAGAGUAACGGAGGAGCACGAAGGUUGGCUAAUCCUGGUCGGACAUCAGGAGGUUAGUGCAAUGGCAUAAGCCAGCUUGACUGCGAGCGUGACGGCGCGAGCAGGUGCGAAAGCAGGUCAUAGUGAUCCGGUGGUUCUGAAUGGAAGGGCCAUCGCUCAACGGAUAAAAGGUACUCCGGGGAUAACAGGCUGAUACCGCCCAAGAGUUCAUAUCGACGGCGGUGUUUGGCACCUCGAUGUCGGCUCAUCACAUCCUGGGGCUGAAGUAGGUCCCAAGGGUAUGGCUGUUCGCCAUUUAAAGUGGUACGCGAGCUGGGUUUAGAACGUCGUGAGACAGUUCGGUCCCUAUCUGCCGUGGGCGCUGGAGAACUGAGGGGGGCUGCUCCUAGUACGAGAGGACCGGAGUGGACGCAUCACUGGUGUUCGGGUUGUCAUGCCAAUGGCACUGCCCGGUAGCUAAAUGCGGAAGAGAUAAGUGCUGAAAGCAUCUAAGCACGAAACUUGCCCCGAGAUGAGUUCUCCCUGAGACUU
RNAcentral lists this ribosomal RNA (1588 nucleotides) under Salmonella enterica subsp. enterica serovar Indiana. RNAcentral's name for it is "partial 23S ribosomal RNA". It matches the Rfam family "Bacterial large subunit ribosomal RNA", at positions 1252 to 2823 of the family's 2925-position model. RNAcentral also lists the same sequence under 2 other names. The record is from RNAcentral. Lineage: Bacteria; Pseudomonadati; Pseudomonadota; Gammaproteobacteria; Enterobacterales; Enterobacteriaceae.